GGGGUUGUGGCUUAGUGGUAGAGCACAUGGCUUACUUAGCAUGUAUGAGGCACUGGGUUCGAUCCUCAGCACCACA
Molecule: transfer RNA, 76 nt
Filed under: Marmota monax (woodchuck)
Lineage: Eukaryota; Metazoa; Chordata; Mammalia; Rodentia; Sciuridae
Description: tRNA.Val
Source: RNAcentral